Molecule: long non-coding RNA, 2378 nt
Organism: Neofelis nebulosa (Clouded leopard)
Lineage: Eukaryota; Metazoa; Chordata; Mammalia; Carnivora; Felidae
Exons: 7
Source: RefSeq, a predicted model, not a curated record
AGCGGGUCCUGGCCAUUCCCAGACGGGUCGAGGCUGAUGAGGACUCCCAGGCGCUGGGGGCGGCACAGAGGGGCCGUGGCCCCUAUGGAAAUCAGAGAAGUCUAGGACCCCAAAGCGUGGCCAGGCCCAUCGUGAGGAUAGGCGUUGUUCCGCGGAAGGUGCAAGCCAUCAGCGGCUCCAGAAUUUCUAAACCGGAAGGACUUGCGGGUGUGGAGCACAUGGAGAUGCUGAAAUCCUGUUCCAUUUGCCAGCGGUCUCCUGACCGCCACCCCGUUAUUCAUUUCUCAUCUGCCUCUGCCACUUACCUAGGAGCUUCCCAGCAGACGUCUAUCUGGAUUGCCUGGAUCCUGAGCCCAACAGACAGCUGGGCAUGAGGUGAGCUGCUUCUCCUUGGCAGACUCCUUGCGAGCUGAAAAAAGAAGCAGAUGUCAGAGACAUGCCAAAGCAGUGCACCAAAUUGAGCCUCCCCGCUGCUUCCCAGCACACCUUCAGCCUUCUCUUUAAGGUGCUGGUGCUGAUCCAGGAGGCUGACGUUGGACUGUGGGCCCAGAGGGAUGUCGUCCUCAUCUCCCCGGGGCUCGCUGCCGCUGUCCUGCAGCUCCUCCUCCGCAGCUCCUUUGCGCCUUCGUUGCAAUAGCUUCUGGAGCUGAGGUUCCACCAGCGCCCCUCAGAGCCAAGCCCAAGACAAAGUGGAGUAUCGGGCCCAGGGGGCUUGCGUCAGGAUCUUGGCUUUUGGGAGAGGGUCCUGGGCCACGCGACAUGGAGGUGCCCUACCCCUCAGAUCAGACUGGCAGUCCCUCGUUUGCCUGGGGGCCACGGUCCCAACUACUGACAGCUCACUCCACUGGAUGCCACCCUCCCUCCCACACCCUCAUUUCUCUUCCGACCCGAGGCUCUCACCAACAGUUGCCGCCGCUGUCGCAAAGGCACGUAAGGCACGUAGUCUUCGUCGUCCUCAUCCUCCGCCUCGGAGCGGCUUCCUGUGGCAGUCGCUUCAUCUGUGCGAACCCGCUACAGAUACACAUGAAUCAGGCCCAGGCCCCCGCUUUCACAGCUGCUCGCCACCCGCACCGACCCCUACCUCGCUCCCACCUUCCGUUCAGGUUCCGAGUCCUCCAUCCUUUGCUGUACGCAGGCGCGCUACGGUAAAACCCCGCCUCAAUUUUUGCGUGAGAUCCAAUCAGAUGUGAAGAAGCGGAAGGUCGGCACCUAGUAACGACCUCUGAGUGCCGGAUCGCGCAGAGGGACAAACUUUCCCGAGACCCUGUCAGGCAGUGCAGCGUCAAAGUACCCUUGGGCGGCUGCGCAUUUGUUGCCAGGGGCGAGGGCGAAGCGUCAUACAAUGCAUUAUGGGACGCUGGAGGACUUGGAGCAUGCGCUAAACGCUCAAACGAAGACUGGUGGAAGGUCCCACGAGUGGAGAUACAGAAGAGACCCGCCUAGCGGAGGCCUAGCUUCGCCCAGAGCCUGACGUCAUCUGGCACGUUCCGGGACUGGGCCAGCUGGGACCCCACCGUGGACUGCAUCCCGGGCACGGGGCGCGGGUAACGAAUCAACUUGCACUGCAGCUGUGACUGGCGUCCUUAUCUAUGUGACAACACGUAAAGCAGCUCCUUGAUCAGACCUGCAAUUUUUGAAUGAUGAAGCAGAAUUUUAGAUAAUUAUGCCAGUUCAGUUGCAGCACAGGAGCCUGGUGCAAGAGUUGAAAGGAAAGAAGAACAAAGGAAAGAUCUUCACAGUAUCAAAAGUAAAGAAUUGAAAAACAAGAACAAAAACAAAACCAAACACAAAGAGAGCAGUGUUGGGCCAGCAGUACCAUCAGCCCCCAGCCCACAAGCCAGUUCAGCCCCCGGGCUCUGAGUGAGGAGGCUGCGUAGCACCAGGAAGCGGCUCUGCGGAGGUCCUGAGGGGCCCCAGCAUGGCACAGCGUCCAUUCAACUUUUGGUUGGUCCAGGAUGGCGAGGAGCAGGGAGGAUCUUGGGCAGGUGGAUAGGGAUGUGGCGGAAGAAACUGUAGACCUUCAGCUGGCAGUUGGGGUCUCAGGACACCCUGAAGAAGCUUGACCCGGCAGGGGCUGAGAAAACAGGAGAGCAUGACUGCACCGUCUCAGCUUGGUUGCCACCUCUACUAGGAAGGCUGCCCUGGCCUCGCCUACGUUUCAGCCUCGCCUGUCGCCCCACUUCUAGCUGCCUCCCCCACAGCCCCAUACCCUUACUCUUCCAACAGCACUCAACACUGUUUAUGGCUCUCUCUGCACCUAAGCUGUGUUUGAUUUGCCUCUACCCUAGAGCUCAGCCCAGGCAGAGCAGAGAAAGUGCAAAUGAAUAAACAAAGUGAAUAAAGCUGGAGAAAGCCCUGGUUCUUGGGGCCUGACAUGC